CUACGGGUUGCUGCAGUGAGGAAUAUUGCACAAUGGGGGAAACCCUGAUGCAGCAACGCCGCGUGGAGGAUGACGCAUUUCGGUGUGUAAACUCCUUUUAUCAGAGAAGAAAAUGACGGUAUCUGAUGAAUAAGCUCCGGCUAACUCCGUGCCAGCAGCCGCGGGAAUACGGAGGGAGCAAGCGUUAUUCGGAAUCACUGGGCGUAAAGGGCGCGUAGGCGGGUUUUUAAGUCAGGUGUGAAAUCCUAUGGCUCAACCAUAGAACUGCACUUGAAACUGGGGACCUAGAGUAUGGAAGGGGCAGGUGGAAUUAGUGGUGUAGGGGUAAAAUCCGUAGAUAUCACUAGGAAUACCGAAAGCGAAGGCGACCUGCUGGGACAUUACUGACGCUGAGGCGUGAAAGCGUGGGGAGCAAACAGGAUUAGAUACCCGGGUAGUC
This 439-nucleotide ribosomal RNA is filed under the name uncultured bacterium. RNAcentral describes it as "partial 16S ribosomal RNA". It matches the Rfam family "Bacterial small subunit ribosomal RNA", at positions 339 to 795 of the family's 1533-position model. The record is from RNAcentral.